GAUGAACGCUGGCGGCGUGCCUAACACAUGCAAGUCGAGGGGCAGCAUGAACUUAGCUUGCUAAGUUUGAUGGCGACCGGCGCACGGGUGAGUAACACGUAUCCAACCUGCCGAUGACUCGGGGAUAGCCUUUCGAAAGAAAGAUUAAUACCCGAUGGCAUAGUUCUUCCGCAUGGUAGAACUAUUAAAGAAUUUCGGUCAUCGAUGGGGAUGCGUUCCAUUAGGUUGUUGGCGGGGUAACGGCCCACCAAGCCUUCGAUGGAUAGGGGUUCUGAGAGGAAGGUCCCCCACAUUGGAACUGAGACACGGUCCAA
This 314-nucleotide ribosomal RNA is filed under the name uncultured bacterium. RNAcentral's name for it is "bacterial SSU rRNA". It matches the Rfam family "Bacterial small subunit ribosomal RNA", at positions 28 to 334 of the family's 1533-position model. The record is from RNAcentral.